Molecule: non-coding RNA, 326 nt
Filed under: Leucoagaricus sp. SymC.cos
Lineage: Eukaryota; Fungi; Basidiomycota; Agaricomycetes; Agaricales; Agaricaceae
Description: Bacterial small subunit ribosomal RNA
Rfam family: Bacterial small subunit ribosomal RNA
Source: Rfam by way of RNAcentral
AGUUGUAAGCUUACUGUUCUGCGGUAAGUAGAACAAGGUUAUACAACAACACCUAAUUAAGCAUAAAUUAGCUUAUUUAUAAGAAAGGAAAGCUUUAUUUAAACUAUAAAAAAAAUAGUUUGAUUGCCUCAGGCAAAUUUAAAGCACCGCUAUAAGAAUCGAUUUAUUUUGUUUAAUGGUAGUUGGUUGGGUAAAAGCCUACCAAGCCUACGAUCAAUAGCCAGGUUUGAUAGAACAGAUGGCCACAUUGGGAAUGAAAAGCCCCAAGUAGAGUAAUCUACCUGCAGUCAAGAAUAUUAGUCAAUGCUCGCAAGAGUGAACUAGCU